GCCAAGACAAGUGAAGAUGUCCCCAUUUCGGCACUUUUUCAUUGGCUUCUGAUUGAAUGGCAUGAGAUCCCGGCGAAGAUGGGAUAAAACAAACUCUGUACACAAAACAUUUUGCGUCUGGCUAAAAAGUUUGAAAACAAGGCUUCAAAGCGGAAAGUGAAUAGGAUUCUAAAUAACGAACAAGAUCCCUUUUGAAACCAGUUAUAGAAUCACCAUCUCCGAUCUUCUCGUUGUCUUUUGAUGACAAAGGUGGACAAGACGGACUAAUCCAAAGGCCUGCACAAAUUUAUUGUUUAAAAAACGAUAGUUUGCCAAUAGGGAUUGUAGUGGUACGUACCUUGUGUACGGUCUUCCCAAUCAGAUUCAAUAAGGUUACCCGUAUGAACAACGAUUCGCAAAUUUCCGUCUUCGUAGGACAUCAUGGACAUUUUCCUUCAGGUUUGACUCUGAUCGUGUGAAGCGUUGGCACUCGACUUUGAGCGGCAGCUAGCUCUUCGGAUUCAGUUCCGUAAAUCACGAGCAUUGGCU
Daphnia pulicaria is the source of this 528-nucleotide long non-coding RNA. RefSeq lists it as uncharacterized. NCBI's taxonomy places the organism in Eukaryota, Metazoa, Arthropoda, Branchiopoda, Diplostraca, Daphniidae. The record is from RefSeq and is a predicted model, not a curated record. The transcript is spliced from 3 exons.